AUAUCCAUAUAUAUAUAUUGGUUUUUUACGAAUUUUUAGUUUAAUGUCAAUUGUAAUUUGUAAAUGAGGUAUGAUUGUCAGUGCAUUGUUUCUUUAUAUUUUGGAUUUAUUUGGUUGAAGAAAUGAUUUGAUCAAUUGUUUUUUACAUUCUUAGCCUUAAGUUAUUGGAGUGAUUGGUAGUGAUCGCUUUAUCAGUAUCUUCCAAAAGUAUUUUAAAACAAAAAAUAAGUUGUGAAGUUAUCCCACAGUUUGUUAAAGGCCCGUGUGAUUAGUUGGUUUAUACUUUAUACCACACCCACAUGCUUAAAUUUGAAGUCUUCUUUUACUUUUCCUUAAGUGAUAAUAUUUUCUAUGAUUUUCUUAGAUAUCAGUGUAGAGCAGCUAUUUAGCCUCAAGGAAGCACAACUCUUGUAUAGGCUUUCUGAUGAGCAUGUUGCGGACUUGUUCAGGGAGCAUACAAGGAAACUGAUUGAGAAACACAUCUCUUCUGCUCUUACUUUACUGAAGUCUAAAACAAGAGCCACGUAUACUCUCUACUUCACACAUAAUUGCCUUUACAUUAAUGUUUGUGUCAUCAAACAUGAUCGAUGAUUUGCUAAAAGUAUUAUAAUAUGAUAUUUUUUAGAGUACUUA
Cannabis sativa is the source of this 633-nucleotide long non-coding RNA. RefSeq lists it as uncharacterized. The record is from RefSeq and is a predicted model, not a curated record. NCBI's taxonomy places the organism in Eukaryota, Viridiplantae, Streptophyta, Magnoliopsida, Rosales, Cannabaceae. The transcript has 2 exons.